GACGAACGCUGGCGGCGUGCUUAACACAUGCAAGUCGAACGGAAAGGCCCUGCUUUUGUGGGGUGCUCGAGUGGCGAACGGGUGAGUAACACGUGAGAAACCUGCCCUUGACUUUGGGAUAACUUCAGGAAACUGGGGCUAAUACCGGAUAGGAGCUCCUGCUGCAUGGUGGGGGUUGGAAAGUUUCGGCGGUUGGGGAUGGACUCGCGGCUUAUCAGCUUGUUGGUGGGGUAGUGGCUUACCAAGGCUUUGACGGGUAGCCGGCCUGAGAGGGUGACCGGCCACGUUGGGACUGAGAUACGGCCCAGACUCCUACGGGAGGCAGCAGUGGGGAAUAUUGCACAAUGGGCGGAAGCCUGAUGCAGCAACGCCGCGUGCGGGAUGACGGCCUUCGGGUUGUAAACCGCUUUCGCCUGUGACGAAGCGUGAGUGACGGUAAUGGGUAAAGAAGCACCGGCUAACUACGUG
This 468-nucleotide ribosomal RNA is filed under the name uncultured bacterium. RNAcentral describes it as "partial 16S ribosomal RNA". It matches the Rfam family "Bacterial small subunit ribosomal RNA", at positions 28 to 507 of the family's 1533-position model. The record is from RNAcentral.